GUAGGGAAUAUUGGACAAUGGGCGAAAGCCUGAUCCAGCAAUGCCGCGUGAGUGAUGAAGGCCUUAGGGUUGUAAAGCUCUUUUACCAGGGAUGAUAAUGACAGUACCUGGAGAAUAAGCUCCGGCUAACUCCGUGCCAGCAGCCGCGGUAAUACGGAGGGAGCUAGCGUUGUUCGGAAUUACUGGGCGUAAAGCGCGCGUAGGCGGCGAUUUAAGUCAGAGGUGAAAGCCCGGGGCUCAACCCCGGAAUAGCCUUUGAGACUGGAUUGCUAGAAUCAUGGAGAGGUGAGUGGAAUUCCGAGUGUAGAGGUGAAAUUCGUAGAUAUUCGGAAGAACACCAGUGGCGAAGGCGGCUCACUGGACAGGUAUUGACGCUGAGGUGCGAAAGCGUGGGGAGCAAACAGGAUUAGAAACCCCUGUAGUCC
Molecule: ribosomal RNA, 425 nt
Filed under: uncultured bacterium
Lineage: Bacteria
Description: partial 16S ribosomal RNA
Rfam family: Bacterial small subunit ribosomal RNA
Source: RNAcentral